Molecule: long non-coding RNA, 567 nt
Organism: Toxotes jaculatrix (banded archerfish)
Lineage: Eukaryota; Metazoa; Chordata; Actinopteri; Toxotidae
Exons: 2
Source: RefSeq, a predicted model, not a curated record
UCCCUGAUGUGUGUGUGUGUGUGUGUGUGUGUGUGUGUAUGUGUGUGUGUGUGUGUGUGUGUGUGUGUGUGAACAUGGAGUCGUGUGGUUCCUGAACAAUGGCUUUUCUUUUCUGGUGGAUGGAUAAUGGAGUCACUGUGAAGUCACACGGAACAGUGGCAGGAAGUUUGUUAUUUACCACUGCGUCCCGGAAUGUGUCCAUGUGUUUAGUCUUUUCUUUUUGGGGAGGGAGGGGGGGGGUGCUAAUGGCUGAAGUGUAAAUUAGCCAUUCCCUGCUUUGGCACAUCAUUAUUAUUAUGGGGGGGGGUCCAUUUUGUUUACAAUGUAAUGCUGGGUGGAAGAGCCGAUGUACAGCGAGCAGAGAGGAAGCCACCCCCUUCUUUUUUCUUCUGAAGUCGUCCUCACGUCGUUCAGUGGGUUGUCCUUAAACUGCCCUCGGAGCAGCUCGUUUCACCGGUUUACUCGACCUCAACCAAACAAAUCAGUGGAAAGAGCCUCGGUGAUGCUGGUUUAUAAAAAAAAAAAAAAAAAAAGCUGAAGCCUCAAACGGCACAAAAUGUGUUCCAA